RNAcentral lists this ribosomal RNA (620 nucleotides) under uncultured bacterium. Its description in RNAcentral is "bacterial SSU rRNA". It matches the Rfam family "Bacterial small subunit ribosomal RNA", at positions 52 to 648 of the family's 1533-position model. The record is from RNAcentral.
GGCAUGCAAGUCGAACGGAAUGCUAUUUAGCUUGCUAGAUAGUGUUUAGUGGCGGAAGGGUUAGUAAUACAUGGAUAACUUACCUGUAACUUUGGGAUAACGGGCGGAAACGUUCGCUAAUACCAAAUGUGGUGGAUGAGCGAAAGCUUGCUUAUUAAAGCGGGGGACUUUCGGGCCUCGUGGUUAGAGAUAGGUCCAUGGGAUAUCAGCUUGUUGGUGUGGUAAAGGCGCACCAAGGCUAAGACGUCUAGGCGGGUUGAGAGAUUGACCGCCAACACUGGGACUGAGACACUGCCCAGACUCCUACGGGAGGCUGCAGUCGAGAAUCUUUCGCAAUGGGGGAAACCCUGACGAAGCGACGCCGUGUGAACGAUGAAGGCUUUCGGGUCGUAAAGUUCUUUCGCUAGGGAACAAGAAAGACUGACCAAUAAUCAGUCAAUUUGAGGGUACCUGGUAAAGAAGCACCGGCUAACUCCGUGCCAGCAGCUGCGGUAAUACGGAGGGUGCAAGCAUUAAUCGGAAUUAUUGGGCGUAAAGGGCGUGUAGGCGGGAGUGUAAGUCAGACGUGAAAUGCCGGAGCUCAACUCCGGAACGGCGUUUGAAACUACAUUUCUUGAGGA